Molecule: long non-coding RNA, 1184 nt
Organism: Hibiscus syriacus
Lineage: Eukaryota; Viridiplantae; Streptophyta; Magnoliopsida; Malvales; Malvaceae
Exons: 6
Source: RefSeq, a predicted model, not a curated record
UGUCCUUCCGCUUCAGUAUCUUCCUCACAUCUUUCCUCACUAAGAACUUGAAAAUCUCACGGCUACAAAGCAUCUCUUUAUCCUUCUCCAGACUACUGGGUUCUCUCCAAAUUUACUGAAAUGAAAAUUUAAGCUAACUUAAAAUCUGGAUCAAAUCUAGUUUUCUUUUUCCGCGUCCAAGCUUCUGUUUUCCUGUCUCUCGGAUGCACUGUACUUCCUAGUUGAGCUAGGAAAAUCCUGCUGACAUUUUUAGAUGCAUCUAUAUUUUAUUCUAUGGAAAUGGUUCUGUAUUAUAUGCAUAUUCCUUUCCAGUUCAGUAUCCUGACAUUGUACGGCAGUUUAUAAAGGGUACAGAGGGGUUUUCUGGACCUUUUGCUGAAUGCCUUUGUGGAAGCCCAAACUUAUAUCAGGAAGGUGGAAGGAAACCAUAGAACAGUGUCGACUUUGUAUGUGCACAUGAUGGUUUUACUUUGGCUGAUCUAGUUACCUAUAAUAACAAACACAAUUUAGCAAACAGGGAAGACAACAAUGAUGGAGAAAGUCAUAACAAUAGCUGGAAUUGUGGAGAGGAGGGGAAGUUUGCAAGUAUUUCUGUGAAGAAACUGAGGAAACGCCAAAUGCGGAAUUUCUUUUUCUGCCUUAUGGUUUCCCAGGGUGUUCCAAUGAUUUGCAUGGGUGAUGAAUAUGGUCACACAAAAGGGGGAAACAACAACACAUACUUCCAUGAUAAUUAUGUCAACUACUUUCGGUGGGAUAAAAUGGAAGAGUCUUCAUCAGAUAUUUUCAGAUUCUUCUGUCUCAUGACCAAGUUCCGCCGGUGAGAACCCUUGUUUGAGCGAGUGAGCCCUCAUCAUUCCUUGUCUGCAUUUUGAAAAUUUGAUUUUGCUGAAAUCACGCGGUGAAUGCGAGUCACUUUGCUUAUAUGGCUUCUCAACGUCAGAGAGGUUGCAGUGGCAUGGUCAUACUCCUGGAAAGCCAGACUGGUCUGACACAAGCCGUUUUACUCACUGAUUGAUUCUCCCCGGGAUAUAGAUGGGAGCCGUAGGUGGACACGAGUAAGCCUGCACCAUUCGAUUUCCUAUCCGACGAAGUCCCAGAGAGUGAUAUUGCCAUCAAACAAUAUGCUCAAUUCCUUGAUGCCAAUCUAUACCCUAUGCUCGGUUAUUCUUCAAUUAUUCUGCUAC